Non-coding RNA from Danio rerio (zebrafish), 365 nucleotides. The record is from RefSeq and is a predicted model, not a curated record. NCBI's taxonomy places the organism in Eukaryota, Metazoa, Chordata, Actinopteri, Cypriniformes, Danionidae.
GUUUCUGGAGGUCAGAUCCAGCCUGCCUGGCGGGAAUGCUGCCCGUUAUUUCUUCUUCACAUCGAGGCCAGCCAGCUGUAAAAAUCUAAACCAGUAUUUCCAGAUAGCUUGGGCCGAGAUGAAACUUCCGGGCUGCCCCACAUUUACCGACGUGCGUUCAUCAAUCGCAACCCACAUUAAGCAUGCUCACACCGGCGAUCUCAGAGCGAAGCUCUCUGAUUUCAUGGCCCAUGACACCGGUACUUCUGACCGGUAUUACGCAAUGAACUUAACCGCAAGUCAAGCAAUGUCGUACCGGCACUGGUUCGAACAGGCCCUGUGUGCAAGUCCCGGUGAUAAUCAAACGGAUGGCCGUCCUCCAUCGG